Molecule: ribosomal RNA, 253 nt
Filed under: uncultured bacterium
Lineage: Bacteria
Description: partial 16S ribosomal RNA
Rfam family: Bacterial small subunit ribosomal RNA
Source: RNAcentral
GACGGGGGGGGCAAGUGUUCUUCGGAAUGACUGGGCGUAAAGCGCACGUAGGCGGCUUUCUAAGUCAGGGGUGAAAUCCUGGAGCUCAACUCCAGAACUGCCUUUGAUACUGGAGAGCUAGAGUCCGGAAGAGGUGAGUGGAACUGCGAGUGUAGAGGUGAAAUUCGUAGAUAUUCGCAAGAACACCAGUGGCGAAGGCGGCUCACUGGCCCGAUACUGACGCUGAGGCACGAAAGCGUGGGGAGCAAACAGG